Molecule: ribosomal RNA, 156 nt
Filed under: Triticum aestivum (bread wheat)
Lineage: Eukaryota; Viridiplantae; Streptophyta; Magnoliopsida; Poales; Poaceae
Description: partial small subunit ribosomal RNA
Source: RNAcentral
AUCAUCGCUCUUGUCGCAUGGUCCCUCUGGAAACACCAUAACGAUGUUCUACUCGACAACCUCCGACCGUUGAACAACGAGCUUGCUCGCAUAAUCAAGGAUGAGGCUCGCUUGUGGGCACGUCACGGAGCCAAAGGGAUUGCUUUAGUUAUUCCC